AUAAGUAGAAAAAGUGUUCAAGACU
Molecule: non-coding RNA, 25 nt
Filed under: Cricetulus griseus (Chinese hamster)
Lineage: Eukaryota; Metazoa; Chordata; Mammalia; Rodentia; Cricetidae
Source: RNAcentral